Molecule: ribosomal RNA, 253 nt
Filed under: uncultured bacterium
Lineage: Bacteria
Description: partial 16S ribosomal RNA
Rfam family: Bacterial small subunit ribosomal RNA
Source: RNAcentral
UACAGAGGGUGCAAGCGUUGUUCGGAAUUAUUGGGCGUAAAGGGCGCGUAGGCGGCUCAUGAAGGCUGUGGUGAAAGUCCGGGGCUCAACCUCGGAUCGGCCGUGGCGACUCGUGGGCUGGAGCACUGUAGAGGCGGGUGGAAUUCCAGGUGUAGCGGUGGAAUGCGUAGAGAUCCGGAAGAACACCAGUGGCGAAGGCGGCCCGCUGGGCAGUGGCUGACGCUGAGGCGCGACAGCGUGGGGAGCAAACAGG